Long non-coding RNA from Rattus rattus (black rat), 2065 nucleotides. RefSeq lists it as uncharacterized. The transcript has 5 exons. The record is from RefSeq and is a predicted model, not a curated record. Lineage: Eukaryota; Metazoa; Chordata; Mammalia; Rodentia; Muridae.
UCAGGGUGUCAGCAGGUCCCGGCAUUCUCAGGCUAUGAAGGAGAAUCUGUUCUUGGCUUUGUUCCUUCCUGGAGGCUGUUGGGCCAUCUUUGAUGUCUUUGCCGUCACCUUCACGUGUGUUCUCUUCAUGCAUACGUUUGCUUUUGUGUCCAUGCUUCCCGAUUUAUAAGCAUGCAAGUGAUAUUGGACCAGAAUUCACUCUAAUGACUUCAUUUGAUUUUGAUUACUUGUAAAAAUUCCAUUUUCAGAUAAGAGCACAUUCACAGGAACUAGUGUUUAGGACACCAUCUGAGAAGAUAAAAUGUAUGAAUAGGUAACGUUUCUGAAGAAGUAUAUCUGAAAGUUCUUUAAUAGUGGUUUUAUAUAUAAGUGUGAAGUUUAUUAAAAUACUGGGAUAAUUAUGAGUGUAUGCCAAUAGAUGAGUCAUGUCUAAAUAUUUGUUUUUGAGACAGGACUUGUUUAGUCUUACAAAAAAUAUAUACAUACAUAGUUUAAUGAAAGAUUUUCUAUGUGGACUGACAAGAGCCAUAAACUAACCAAGGCCUUAACGCCAGGUAUGAGAACCUAUUUUUGAAUUCUUGGCUGCUGUUGUCCAAGAGACUUCCAAAACAUUUUGGGUUAUUUAUGUUGCUAUUGGUUACCCCAAAGGUGGACAUUGAUAAGUCCCAUGAAGACAUCAAGCACUUCAGACAGAGGACCAGAGGAUUUGAACUAUAUGCAACCUGAAAGCCUCAUUCCUGAGGACCACCUUGCAUAGUAUGAGAAAGUGCCACAUGUACUUCCAAAGGAGAGAAGAAGCAACAGUCCUUCCUAGACCCAGCUGUACAUCCUGUGCACUGCAACAAUGACCAGAAUGGCAAGCGUGCCCUAUGGGUAUGGUACUGAUACACAUUCCUUGUUGGUGGCCAUGCGAUGGCAUCAUAGGUUGCUGCAGAUGGUUUCAAUGGUUCUGUUGGAUGUUCUUCAUCUGUGCCUGCAAAAGGAGCCCAAGACUUUAUGUAUGGCCAUUGCUAUGACCUAGUGUGAUGCUCUACUUUUCCGCUGAACUUUACUUGCUAGAGCUGAGGAGCUUGGCUAUAAUUUAGCCUUUUCUUUUUGUAUUUAGCUGUUGUUGAGGAAGGAGCUUUGGAAAUAGAAGUAACCAGGCAGCAGGUCCAUUUUCACUGUCGAAGGCAGCUGAAAACUCAUCCCUACUGAUGAGUAGAUUUCAGUACCAUAAACACUAGUCAGCCAGAGUGAAGGCUCUAUAACCACUGCUAUGAAUGAUGUUACUGCCAACUUGGAUGUAAAAGUCUUUUUGGGUGGUCCCAGGCUGAGAGUUUGUGGAGUUGAUCUCUCCAAGCAUCACCCAGCUUGUCUUCACAACAUUCAGCUCCUACCAGACCAUAGACGCCACUGGUCCUGAAUGCUUAUACUCUACCAGAACAAUAAAGAAGGGCAAUCCUUCAUGUUGAUGUAGUGCUCAAGAAGGUCCCGUGAAACCUGCAAGAAUUUCAACCCAGCAAGCAGGAAUUCCUUCUGUUUAAAAUGCUGGAUGAUUUCUCUCAUGAUCGAUCUACUGCUGGUCCCUAUCAGACUUGAUAGCAAUGAAGGUUCUCUCACUGUUAUUUACUCAUGGUCCACUUCAGAAGUCAGGUCUUUAACUUGAGCACUCACUUCCAGUUAGUUUCUGACACAUCUAGGAGAUUCUCUGACCCUCUUACUCUUAUUAUUUUCUUGCCUCCUCUCCUACAAUGUUAAUGUGCCUUGAGCUUUAAGUACAGGAGUAUUUGGUAGAUAUGUCCACUGGGACUAGGCUCCACAACUCUAAAGUUUGGUUGGUUGUGUCUUUCUGAAAUGGUCUCUGUCUGCUGCAAAGAGAAAUUUCCUUGAUGGGGUGAGAAAUAAAAUGGUCUCGGGUGUGAGGACAAAUGUUAAGAUUGUUUUUAGGUGGAGUCUCAGGGGAUACACAAAUCUCACCCAAGGGCAGGCCUCAUGCCCAACAUUAGAGCCUAACACAAAAUGAACUCAAUGUAUAUUUUGGACACACACACACACACACACACACACACACACACACAGGUCU